AUUGAACGCUGGCGGCAUGCCUUACACAUGCAAGUCGAGCGCGAAAGGGGGCAACCCCGAGUAGAGCGGCGGACGGGUGAGUAACACAUCGGAACGUGCCCAGUAGUGGGGGACAACCUCGAGAAAUCGAGGCUAAUACCGCAUACGACCCACGGGUGAAAGCGGGGGACCCAAAGGAAACUGAGGGCCUCGCGCUAUUGGAGCGGCCGAUGUCCGAUUAGCUAGUUGGCGGGGUAAGAGCCCACCAAGGCGACGAUCGGUAGCUGGUCUGAGAGGACGACCAGCCACACUGGGACUGAGACACGGCCCAGACUCCUACGGGAGGCAGCAGUGGGGAAUUUUGGACAAUGGGGGCAACCCUGAUCCAGCCAUGCCGCGUGCGGGAAGAAGGCCUUCGGUU
This 400-nucleotide ribosomal RNA is filed under the name uncultured bacterium. Its description in RNAcentral is "bacterial SSU rRNA". It matches the Rfam family "Bacterial small subunit ribosomal RNA", at positions 29 to 423 of the family's 1533-position model. The record is from RNAcentral.